Molecule: RNA transcript, 1830 nt
Organism: Lycium barbarum (goji berry)
Lineage: Eukaryota; Viridiplantae; Streptophyta; Magnoliopsida; Solanales; Solanaceae
Exons: 9
Source: RefSeq, a predicted model, not a curated record
UUAUUUAUGUAUGUAUGUAUGUAUGUAUGUCAAUAUGUUUGAUAGGGUUUUGCAAUCAAUUUGAUAUGUGUGUCUAACAAGAAACCUGUGGUUGAGAAUGUAAAAUGGUUAAGCUCUUUGAUAUCUUAGGAAGAAUUUAGAGAAAUUUAAAUAUUUAAUUCAUAGACUAAGAACAAUGUGAAAAAGAGAGACAGUUCUAAAAAAUAAAAAUAAAAAGGAAAGAUAUAUGUAAGAAUUAUUUUUGUUUUUUGGGGCCUCAGUAAUUAUGUAAUAUACAACAGCACAUUCUUAGUUAUGGCUUUAUAAAAUUACCUUACUAUUUCAAAAAGAAAACUUUACCAGGCAAUUGUGCUGAGAUACUGACAUAGUCUUUUUUUUUUUUUUUUUUGGGAAAGGUACAAAAAGUUAAGUUUUUCUUUUUUGUCUUUAGAAAAAAGAAAGACAAUGUGCGAGACAAAUAUAACUUCCAUAGAAGUCAGGAAAGUGUUUCAGGUAGAUCAAGUGUUUUAACUAUUGGCAAGAACAUGGAAUUUCCAUGUAGAAACAUUUACAGCCACAUGGUAAGAGUGAAAGGAAAGACAUACUCCUACAGCCAAAUGGCUUGACAACACUGCACGGGUGCCUGAGAAAAUGUUAGUUUUGGCAACAAGUAGUGGAGCUGGUACAGUGCCAAACAACCAUAUAUAUGAUACAGUGGGAAGACAAAUUUGUUUACUGCAAUUCAAAAGAUAAUUGCUUUUAAAAAGGGAUUUAACAUAGCAUUAUUUGGGCAAAUAUGACAGAUGCUUGCAACUUCAGGCAGUUAUGUGCUUAGUUUGUGGAGGUUCAGUUCUAGUUUUCAUCCUGUCAUGGGUCGUAAUAAGCUUGUGAUGAAGAAAAUUGAAAAUUCAACAUCCCGCCAACAGACCUAUUCAAAGCGCAAGGAUGGUAUUGUUAAGAAGGCAAAUGAGUUGGCUGUUUUAUGUGACACAGAUGUUGGUCUUUUAAUGUUUUCUCCAACCGGUCAAGUGACCAGCUAUUCUAGCAGAGGAAGUGUUGAGGAUAUCCUGCUCCGUAUUGUGAACCGGCCUGGUGAACUGAACAGGCGACCCAUUCCAAAUGAAGAGCACUUGACACAGAGGCUCAUAAAGUCAAAACAUGAAGGAGAAAUGGUGGAAAAGAUAGCUAUGCUCUUGAGGAGAAGCUCAAUAAGCUCAAUCAAAGACUAAGUGAAGCACGAGAGAAAAUAAGGCAUUACGAACCGCAAGUGGAGAACAUCACCUCAGUCCAAGAAGCUGCUGUAUGCGAGCAGUUCCUUUUGAGUGCUCUGGGACGGAUACAACAAUCAAAAGCCAAAUUCUUGGGUGGCAAUGAAUUUAUCAAGACAAAUGAACAUACUGAGGAACCAGUAGGGGAUGAAAAUUGCGAGAAACAGACAGGAUCUCAGCCCAGCAUUAGCUUAUCGUGUCGAACAGAUGCAGCAGGAGUUAUAUUAUACAGUACUAGUAUAUGUGUUAAGAACUUAGUAAAUAACUUGCACUUAUCAAGCAAGCAGAAGUAUGAAUAGUGUUGCCUGUAUCUAUCACUGCAGGAGUUAAAUUAGUAUGUGUUAAGAACUUAGUAAACACCUUGCACUUAUCAAGCAAGCAAAAGUAUGAAUAAUGUUGCUCAUAGCUAUUACAGCAACUUUAGAGUUCUUCUAUGACAUCAAUCAUAGGUGGUAUUUAGAAUAGAAAACAAUUUCGUUUUGUUUUAUCUUAACUUCGAUAAUUUGUGUAUCCUCCAAGUUUCGCAAGUUCUUUGUUAAUUUUCUGAACCUUGAAAAUAGAAGCUACAGAACCUUGGCUAAUA